AGAUGAGAGCUGUGGUUUUUGUGCUGACACUGUAUCCCUUUUGUUGCGUCUUCAUGGCACCAUGCCUCAAGUUGAGCAUGAGUCAAAGCACUUCAAUAAAGCAGUGCCGGUGCUGAAGAGGGGCCUCGCAGGACUGGAUGACACACCAAUUAACCAAGCAUGUCGAGCCAGCCUGCUCUGCGCCUCAGACUCAGGAGACUAGGAGGGAAGCUGCAAACAAAGGCAGAAAGAGCGGGGGACAAAGUGAAAAGAGCAAGUGUGUGCUGGAGAGGACCUGCAGUCUGGCUCCUGCAGAGACAUCUAUCAGGACGCCAACCCCACUGAGAUGACAACAUCUGGAGGAGACCCACUUUAUCCCAGGAGCAGAGGCUGCUGACCUGAGAGAAGACGGGACAGAUAAAAAAUAGUCUGAUAUUAAAGGUUCUUUGCU
Mesocricetus auratus (golden hamster) is the source of this 430-nucleotide long non-coding RNA. RefSeq lists it as uncharacterized. The transcript has 3 exons. Lineage: Eukaryota; Metazoa; Chordata; Mammalia; Rodentia; Cricetidae. The record is from RefSeq and is a predicted model, not a curated record.